GCGCAGCAGGCGAGAACCUCCGCAAUGCGCGCAAGCGCGACGGGCCAUCCCGAGUGCCGCUCGCUGAGGGCGGCUUUCUCCGGUGUAAGUAGCCGGAGGAAUAAGGAGAGGGCAAGUCUGGUGUCAGCCGCCGCGGUAAUACCAGCUCUCCGAGUGGUGGGGACGAUUAUUGGGCCUAAAGCGUCCGUAGCCGGCUUGACAAGUCUCCCGUUAAGUCCAGCGGCCUAACCGCUGGGCUGCGGGAGAUACUGUCAAGCUUGGGGGCGGGAGAGGCCAGCGGUAUUCCCGGGGUAGGGGUGAAAUCCGUUAAUCCCGGGAGGACCACCAGUGGCGAAGGCGGCCGGCCAGAACGCGCCCGACGGUGAGGGACGAAAGCUGGGGGAGCGAACCGGAUUAGAUACCCCGGGUAGU
RNAcentral lists this ribosomal RNA (411 nucleotides) under uncultured microorganism. RNAcentral describes it as "bacterial SSU rRNA". It matches the Rfam family "Archaeal small subunit ribosomal RNA", at positions 330 to 745 of the family's 1478-position model. The record is from RNAcentral.